GGCUGGUUAGCUCAGUCAGUUGAGCGUAGCGCUAACAACGCUAAAGUCGCGGGUUCGAUUCCCGUUCGGUCC
RNAcentral lists this transfer RNA (72 nucleotides) under Apaloderma vittatum (bar-tailed trogon). It matches the Rfam family "tRNA". Rfam says of the family: Transfer RNA (tRNA) molecules are approximately 80 nucleotides in length. Their secondary structure includes four short double-helical elements and three loops (D, anti-codon, and T loops). The record is from Rfam by way of RNAcentral. Lineage: Eukaryota; Metazoa; Chordata; Aves; Trogoniformes; Trogonidae.